AUGUUAUGUGCGACAUCGUAUAUCUCAAAAGGGAAACUUUUACAGUAUCAAAUUAAUACUAUGCAAUGCUAUGCUUGGAAUUUAUGCUAUUAUUAUGAUUUUACUUGUUGUUCUGAAAACCCUAAGAAACACCUUCCCUACCAAUGUGAGUUUAGUGAUAAUGGAACCGUGUCUUCGUAUGCUAAAGGUGCUUAUAGUUACUAUGAUGUUCAACAAAUUGAAGAAUUUGUUGCUUUUAAGGGUGCUUUUGAAAUUGCUUCUUUGAUUGAAAAGUAUGAUGCUACUCUUUACAAAUCUGAAAAAAAUUUCCAUACUUGA
RNAcentral lists this ribosomal RNA (318 nucleotides) under Triticum aestivum (bread wheat). RNAcentral's name for it is "partial small subunit ribosomal RNA". The record is from RNAcentral. Lineage: Eukaryota; Viridiplantae; Streptophyta; Magnoliopsida; Poales; Poaceae.